Molecule: ribosomal RNA, 490 nt
Filed under: uncultured bacterium
Lineage: Bacteria
Description: partial 16S ribosomal RNA
Rfam family: Bacterial small subunit ribosomal RNA
Source: RNAcentral
GAUGAACGCUAGCGAUAGGCUUAACACAUGCCAGUCGAGGGGCAGCAUGGUCUUAGCUUGCUAAGACUGAUGGCGACCGGCGCACGGGUGCGUAACGCGUAUGCAACUUGCCUCACAGAGGGGGAUAACCCGUCGAAAGACGGACUAAUACCGCGUACACUUGGGAUAGGGCAUCCUGACCCAAGGAAAUGAAAUUCGCUGUGAGAUAGGCAUGCGUCCCAUUAGCGAGUUGGUGCGGUAACGGCUAACCAAGGCGACGAUGGGUAGGUGAACUGAGAGGCUGAACCCCCACACUGGUACUGAGCCACGGACCACACUCCUACGGGAGGCAGCAGUGAGGAAUAUUAGUCAAUGGGCGAGAGCCUGAACCAGCCAAGUCGCGUGAAGGAUGACUGUCUUAUGAAUUGUAAACUUCUUUUAUACGGGAAUAACAAGAGCCACGUGUGGCUCCCUGCAUGUACCGUAUGAAUAAGCAUCGGCUAACUCCGUG